UUUUAAUCGCGGGGGGACACACUUGUGUUGAGAAGGCUAAAACCUGACCCUUUGAACCUGUUAGUUAAUACUGACGUAGGGAGCAAUUAGUGGUUUUCU
This 99-nucleotide non-coding RNA is filed under the name Carnobacterium sp. RNAcentral describes it as "TPP sequence". It matches the Rfam family "TPP riboswitch aptamer (THI element)". From Rfam's summary of the family: Vitamin B(1) in its active form thiamin pyrophosphate (TPP) is an essential coenzyme that is synthesised by coupling of pyrimidine and thiazole moieties in bacteria. The previously detected thiamin-regulatory element, thi box was extended, resulting in a new, highly conserved RNA secondary structure, the THI element, which is widely distributed in eubacteria and also occurs in some archaea. Analysis of operon structures identified a large number of new candidate thiamin-regulated genes, mostly transporters, in various prokaryotic organisms. The record is from RNAcentral. Lineage: Bacteria; Bacillati; Bacillota; Bacilli; Lactobacillales; Carnobacteriaceae.